AAUGAGACAACUCUCCUCCCAAGUAAUAAUUCAUAAAAGUAAACCAUUAUAGGUCAAGGUACGACCUGCAACACGGAGCCUUGGCUCACACCGAACACAGGCGCCUGGGUGCUGUUCGGUGUCACAGGCGCUUGGUUGUAUGAUACAGAUUUUUUUUUUGAUUUUUUUUUUUUGCUGAUUAAAAUAUUCAAUUUUCUAUAUUUAUAAUACAUAUCUAUCACUUCUGUGCAUGUUUCACCUAGUUUCGAGUGUUUUAAACGACCCAGAGAAAAUACCCAAUUU
RNAcentral lists this long non-coding RNA (282 nucleotides) under Mytilus galloprovincialis (Mediterranean mussel). The record is from RNAcentral. Lineage: Eukaryota; Metazoa; Mollusca; Bivalvia; Mytilida; Mytilidae.